This is a non-coding RNA of Acanthosepion pharaonis, 113 nucleotides long. NCBI's taxonomy places the organism in Eukaryota, Metazoa, Mollusca, Cephalopoda, Sepiida, Sepiidae. The record is from the annotation of a GenBank genome assembly.
UUACGGCCAUAUCAUGUUGAAACACCGGUUCCUGCACCGUCAAUGAAGUUAAGCAACGUCGAACCUGGUCAGUACCUAGAUGGGUGACCGCUUGGGAAUACCAGAUGCUGUAG